AAGGAAGAAUCAUUGGAGAAGAACACAAGAGAAAGACUGGAGAGAAGGAGUAAAGGUUGCAAGGGGUGUUUCAUUUUGUUCUUGUUGUUCUUAUUCUUCGUUUUUUC
RNAcentral lists this non-coding RNA (107 nucleotides) under Helicotheca tamesis. Lineage: Eukaryota; Bacillariophyta; Thalassiosirophyceae; Lithodesmiales; Lithodesmiaceae. The record is from RNAcentral.